AUCACGUGACAUACGUCGUCAUAACAACAAGUUAGUGGUUACCUGGAAUGAUGUCAAACUAGCGCAAUUUAACCACAAGGGACAGAAGUAUAAUAUAUGUAUUUUUAUUUUAAUAGAGCUGCGUUACCGCUUUUGGCUCAUCGAAUGAACACUUCGGGAUCUUGCCAGAAGUAGUAGGUCAUCCGGGUACUUUUUGCCAACUGGUUUUUAAAUACUAUGAAUUCGGACAUACUACUCGCCUACUGCUUUUCGCCUACUUACUAUUUAGUAUGGAAGUAUGCGGUUUCGCACGCAGCCCAUCUUUCAAGCUGACGUCCUGCGUCGCAAUCAUCCUCCUCGCGUCUUUUCUUUCGACCAAUCAGCAUUCAAAAGCAAGAUAAGGUCAUCCUCUUAUUUUUUUAUGGAGAACUUUUCGCGGUACAUUAGCAAUUCUCAGGUGUUCCAGAACCCAGAGGAGAAAGACCUGUUGAUGAGCAGGACCUGUAAGAUGAGGGGUUUGAGAAAGAGAUCAUGCAGGACAUCACAGUUCAGUGCUGAAUGAGGACCCCACAGCGUCUUUCCCCUUCAGUGCUGUCACAGCCAUGUGACACUGAAUCAGUCUCUCAGACGAGGCUCAGGACAAUAUUAUGCAAUGGCAAAGACGGUCUGUGCUUUGGGUAUUUUGCUGUUCAUAAUGGUGCAUGGAUAUCAGCGUAUGACCAACUAUUGCACCGUUUCACAAAAUACUGUUCAGUUUGGAAGAUAUAUACAAAGAUUAUGAAGACCUGAUAGAUCGGUGCCUGGAACGCGAUACAGCCAAAAGACCGACAUUAGAAGAGAUCUUACAACAAGAAGGGUUUGACAAGAAAUUAAGAUUCAUCACCGCUCUGGAUGACGCAGAUGAUUGUGGUGUCAUCUGCACACUUCGAGUUUGAUGGAGGGGUGUGUUAAAAUCCAGUCGUUGAUGUAAAGGAAGAAGAGAAGUGAAGAUCGCACACAUCCCUGAGGAGCACCAGUGCUAAUGGUGCUGGAGUGGGGUACUCUUACUUUACUUCAGAAAAUGGGAAAUCUCACCGGUUCCUAACUCCCAAGUCUGGAGGACAAUUACAGGGCACGUUCCACCCAGAAAGGUCACAGCCAUUUACAUCCUGGCCACAACAUCUGGCAAACGAUACAGAGUAUUGUACAGUAUCCUCUCACAAAACAGAUUCGUAUUCGUAAGACGUGACUAGCAGAAAACCAGCUCGUGACUUUACUCCCGCCCAUAUUCGCAGCAACGUCAGAAAAAAUAUUUUCAUGCUCAAAGUCUAGUAGGACCGCCCCUUAAGGUAGUUGCACUACUGAACGAUCUCUGGCACCAGAGAUCUUAACCACUUCUUCCAAAUUGCCUUGUAGUGCAAUUCUCCAUUAUGUAAUGAUGACUAAUUACAACUACGCUACCCUACCUUAGCAUCUGUCACUUUUAAGUGCAAAAUCCACCAAGGGAGGUUGCACUUUUACCCACCUUACACAUAAACUGUUGAUCAGCCUUCCUGACACUGGUCGGGGUUCAGACACAUUUCUUCAGACUGCAUACACAUAACUGCAUCCUGUAACUUUGCAUAAAGUUAUGAAUAACUAUCUUCUACCUAAAAAGCUAUGAACAGCAGCUACGCUAAUUUUCUCUCUUUGUUUUUCUGUUUCUAUGCUCAUCCUGAGGUAACUACAGUACAGAUUAUACCAGCUCCAGUCUGGAUCCCACCUCCAUCACAUGACCCAACACAUAAGGAACGAUGACACCGGCCCUUCCAAGGAUUUCAGACGACACCAGCGCUGGACUAUAAACUGACUGAUCUAUAA
Non-coding RNA from Misgurnus anguillicaudatus (oriental weatherfish), 1818 nucleotides. The record is from RefSeq and is a predicted model, not a curated record. NCBI's taxonomy places the organism in Eukaryota, Metazoa, Chordata, Actinopteri, Cypriniformes, Cobitidae.